Molecule: ribosomal RNA, 915 nt
Filed under: uncultured marine eukaryote
Lineage: Eukaryota
Description: bacterial SSU rRNA
Rfam family: Eukaryotic small subunit ribosomal RNA
Source: RNAcentral
UUAAAAAGCUCGUAGUUGGAUUUCUGUAGUGGGAUGCCGGCCGGGUUCUCUGAACUUGUAGCUAGGUUAUCUUGCUGCAUCUUGUCGUAAUUCUCACUGGCAUUCAUUUGUUGGUGUAGAGGACCGACUCGUUUACUUUGAGAAAAUUAGAGUGUUUAAAGCAGGCUAUAGCUUUGAAUAUGUUAGCAUGGAAUAAUAAUAUAGGACUUUACGUUCUAUUUUGUUGGUUGUUCGAGGACGUAAGUAAUGAUUGAUAGGGACAGUUGGGGGCAUCAGUAUUCUGAAGCGAGAGGUGAAAUUCUUGGACCUUCGGAAGACUAACAACUGCGAAAGCAUUUGCCUAGGAUGUUCUCUUUAAUCAAGAACGAAGGUUGGGGGAUCGAAGACGAUCAGAUACCGUCGUAGUCUCAACUAUAAACUAUGCCAACUAGGGAUGGGGCAAUGUUUAAUUACGACUUGCUCCGCACCUUAUGAGAAAUCAAAGUAUUUGGGUUCCGGGGGGAGUAUGGUCGCAAGGCUGAAACUUAAAGGAAUUGACGGGAGGGCACCACCAGGAGUGGAGCCUGUGGCUUAAUUUGACUCAACACGGGAAAACUUACCAGGUCCGGACAUAACGAGGAUUGACAGAUUGAUAGCUCUUUCUUGAUUUUAUGGGUGGUGGUGCAUGGCCGUUCUUAGUUGGUGGAGUGAUUUGUCUGGUUAAUUCCGUUAACGAACGAGACCCCAGCCUGCUAAAUAGCUUGCUUUAACUUUGUUAAACGUCAGCUUCUUAGAGGGACUAUUCUGUGUAUAACGAAUGGAAGUUUGGGGCAAUAACAGGUCUGUGAUGCCCUUAGAUGUUCUGGGCCGCACACGGGCUACACUGCGAGAUUCAGCAAGCUUCAUAACCUGGUUCGAUAGGAUCGGGAAAUCUUU